GCGGCUUUAGCUCACUUGGGAGAGCGCCAGACUGAAGUUAACUUCCGUUACUGUUGCAGCUACUGAAAAUAAAAGUACUGUACUAUCUGGAGGCACUGUGUUCGAUCCACAGAAGCCGCA
Molecule: non-coding RNA, 120 nt
Organism: Sclerotinia sclerotiorum 1980 UF-70
Lineage: Eukaryota; Fungi; Ascomycota; Leotiomycetes; Helotiales; Sclerotiniaceae
Source: the annotation of a RefSeq genome assembly